Molecule: ribosomal RNA, 700 nt
Filed under: uncultured bacterium
Lineage: Bacteria
Description: bacterial SSU rRNA
Rfam family: Bacterial small subunit ribosomal RNA
Source: RNAcentral
AGUGGCGGACGGGUGAGUAACACGUAAGAAUUUGCCUUUAGGAGGGGGACAACAACUAGAAAUGGUUGCUAAUACCCCAUAUGCUUUCGAGUGAAAUGGAUUUUUCCGCCUAGAGAGAAGCUUGCGGCUGAUUAGCUUGUUGGUGAGGUAAUGGCUCACCAAGGCGACGAUCAGUAUCUGGUUUGAGAGGACGAUCAGACACACUGGAACUGAGACACGGUCCAGACUCCUACGGGAGGCAGCAGUGGGGAAUUUUCCGCAAUGGGCGAAAGCCUGACGGAGCAAUACCGCGUGAGGGAUGACGGCCUAUGGGUUGUAAACCUCUUUUUCAGGGAGGAAUCAAUGACGUGUACCUGAAGAAUAAGCAUCGGUUAACUCCGUGCCAGCAGCCGCGGUAAGACGGGGGAUGCAAGUGUUAUCCGGAAUCACUGGGCGUAAAGCGUCUGUAGGUGGUCCAAUAAGUCAACUGUUAAAUCUUGAGGCUCAACCUCAAAAUCGCAGUCGAAACUAUUAGACUAGAGUAUAGUAGGGGUAAAGGGAAUUUCCAGUGGAGCGGUGAAAUGCGUAGAGAUUGGAAAGAACACCGACGGCGAAGGCACUUUACUGGGCUAUUACUAACACUCAGAGACGAAAGCUAGGGUAGCAAAUGGGAUUAGAUACCCCAGUAGUCCUAGCCGUAAACAAUGGAUACUAGAUGUUG